This 362-nucleotide transfer-messenger RNA is filed under the name Methylophaga thiooxydans. RNAcentral describes it as "Standard tmRNA". It matches the Rfam family "transfer-messenger RNA". Rfam says of the family: Bacterial tmRNA, also known as 10Sa RNA or SsrA, is named for its dual tRNA and mRNA-like properties. Its role is to liberate the mRNA from a stalled ribosome. RNAcentral also lists the same sequence under 1 other name. The record is from RNAcentral. Lineage: Bacteria; Pseudomonadati; Pseudomonadota; Gammaproteobacteria; Thiotrichales; Piscirickettsiaceae.
GGGGGCGACCUGGAUUCGACGGGGAUGACAAAACCUAAGGUGCAUGCCGAGUAUUCCAGUUCUCUCGUAAAAAAGAUUGGAAAAAAUUUAGUUGCUAACGAUAACAACUACGCACUAGCUGCUUAAUAACCAGUGAAUGCCGUCCGACCAGAUCCGUGCUUGUGCGUCUGGUAUCGGGCGUCGACUCUCACAAGAUCGUCCUGACGUAUGCUUGGUACAGAUGGAUUAAAACUUUAUCAAGAUCGCUCUUUGUUUUCCCUGCUCAUCGGGUAGCAUUGAGUUAAAUUAAUAGAUGAAAUAAGCAUGUAGAUCCGAGGGCGGAGUAUCUGCGGACGCGGGUUCGAUUCCCGCCGCCUCCACCA